CACCGCCCGUCACACCAUGGAAGCCAGCUGUACCGGAAGUCGGUGCGUACCCACCGACGAAGGAGUAGCCGCCCAUGGUAUGACUGGUGACUGGGGUG
RNAcentral lists this ribosomal RNA (98 nucleotides) under uncultured bacterium. RNAcentral describes it as "partial 16S ribosomal RNA". The record is from RNAcentral.